This 475-nucleotide ribosomal RNA is filed under the name Listeria monocytogenes. RNAcentral's name for it is "bacterial SSU rRNA". It matches the Rfam family "Bacterial small subunit ribosomal RNA", at positions 27 to 483 of the family's 1533-position model. The record is from RNAcentral. Lineage: Bacteria; Bacillati; Bacillota; Bacilli; Caryophanales; Listeriaceae.
GGACGAACGCUGGCGGCGUGCCUAAUACAUGCAAGUCGAACGAACGGAGGAAGAGCUUGCUCUUCCAAAGUUAGUGGCGGACGGGUGAGUAACACGUGGGCAACCUGCCUGUAAGUUGGGGAUAACUCCGGGAAACCGGGGCUAAUACCGAAUGAUAAAGUGUGGCGCAUGCCACGCUUUUGAAAGAUGGUUUCGGCUAUCGCUUACAGAUGGGCCCGCGGUGCAUUAGCUAGUUGGUAGGGUAAUGGCCUACCAAGGCAACGAUGCAUAGCCGACCUGAGAGGGUGAUCGGCCACACUGGGACUGAGACACGGCCCAGACUCCUACGGGAGGCAGCAGUAGGGAAUCUUCCGCAAUGGACGAAAGUCUGACGGAGCAACGCCGCGUGUAUGAAGAAGGUUUUCGGAUCGUAAAGUACUGUUGUUAGAGAAGAACAAGGAUAAGAGUAACUGCUUGUCCCUUGACGGUAUCUAAC